AAGACUAUACUUUCAGGGAUCAUUUCUGUAGUUCUUUACUAGAGAAGUUUUUCUGUGCAUAUAGAGCACCAGAAGCCAUGAGGAGGAGGCAAAGCAUUCUCUCCUGAGCGUGAAGUCAGCUCUUGGUGUUGCUUUGCUGCAACUGCCGUUUGCUAUUGAUAAGCGUUCUUCUGUCCCUAUCUGGGAGAACAAGAGGGAGGGAAAGGACAGGGUCUGAGUGGU
Molecule: small nucleolar RNA, 222 nt
Filed under: Propithecus coquereli (Coquerel's sifaka)
Lineage: Eukaryota; Metazoa; Chordata; Mammalia; Primates; Indriidae
Description: Small nucleolar RNA U3 (ENSPCOG00000010368.1)
Rfam family: Small nucleolar RNA U3
About the family: Small nucleolar RNAs (snoRNAs) are involved in the processing and modification of rRNA in the nucleolus. There are two main classes of snoRNAs: the box C/D class, and the box H/ACA class.
Source: Rfam by way of RNAcentral